UGAAUCAGUAGCUUGCUACUAUGCUGGGGUAGACGGGAAAGUCCUAGCUGAAAAGCUAGAGUGCCGGUACCUGUACCCCUAUCAUACCCUUGUCUUUUGAGUACUUAUGUUUCCUUGGUAGGCUUGCCUGCCAAAAGGACAAACUUGAAACCUAUUUAAAUAUCAAUCAGCGUCUGAAAAUAAAUUAAUGAAUUA
This 195-nucleotide unclassified non-coding RNA is filed under the name uncultured fungus. RNAcentral describes it as "sequence contains ITS1". Lineage: Eukaryota; Fungi. The record is from RNAcentral.